This is a long non-coding RNA of Homo sapiens (human), 2144 nucleotides long. The record is from Ensembl. NCBI's taxonomy places the organism in Eukaryota, Metazoa, Chordata, Mammalia, Primates, Hominidae.
UCUCCUGUAAGGACCAGGGGAGCAGGCAGCUGCAGGAGAAGGGGGAUGCGGGGGGCCAUGGGAUUACAAAUUCUCACAGCAGCCGAGCCCAGGCAGAGAAACCCUCCCUGUGAAGUGAGUUGAAUAGUGUCCUUCCCCCAUACCCCCUAAAAACUGACGUCCACUUGGAACCUCAGAAUGAGAACUUAUUGGGAAAUAGGGAUUUUUGCAGAUGUAAUGAUUUGAGGAUGUCAGGGUUAAAAUGAUCAGACUGGUGUCUUUAUAAGAGGAAAGUGAGGAAGGUUGGGACACAGAGGCACACAGCAUAGAAGGCCAGGUGAAGAUGGUGGCAGAGGUUGGAGUGAUGAUGCUGCCUCAAGCUAAGGGACACCGGGAGCCACUUGAAGCCGGAAGAGGCAAGGCAGGAUUCCCCGCUAGAGCUUUCAGAGGAGGCGUGGCCCUGCCAACACCUUGAUUUCAGACUUUUGGCCUCUAAAAUUGUGAGAGAAUAACUUUCUGUUUUGUUAAAGUCGUCCAAGUUGUGAUAAUUUGUUUAGACACACGCAGGAAACUAAUACAGCCUGGUGAGAUGAUAAGGCUGGGUAAAGUCCAGGAAACAAAGGGGCUUUCCAGUGCUUUUUAGUGGCAAAGUUCCUCAUCACUAUGGUUGUGAAACAGGACAGCUCUAUCCAGGAAACUUGCUCUGACUUCCUGUCUGGUGUCGGUAGCAGGUGAUUGAUAUCUUCCUUGUAAGUCAUGAGUCUUAAAUUGAGUGGUGCCUCCAUUUAAGAAAAGGAGGUUAGUGCAUAUUUCUGAGUGCUUGCUUCUUGAAUGAAUUUGAGAGAUAUUCACUAGAGACAUUGAAGUAGGUACUAGUCACAGACAGUGACCUCAUGGCGUUUUAGCAAAAGGAGAACGAGUUCUGUGAAUUUUGGUAAAGUGCUUUUAUGUGCUUAUUUAUGGCUGUGCUAUCAUCUGAAGCAGAACACAGAGAAGCAGCUAUUGCUGAUUUAGUUAUUAGACAUAAGAACAAAGGGUUAGGAGCUUCUAGGGCAUUAUUCAUUGACAAUAAUCCACAGCCUGCUAUGAACAAUGCUGCAUGCUGUGCAAAUAUAGCAAGAGUGCCUUCAUAAAUAAUGCCAGAAACACUAGUGGUGCCAAGGCAGAUAGAAUAUAUCGAUGGCAAGUUAAUGUGUUAGGCCCCUGGGUUUGCUUAAUUAUAUAGGCUGUUUUACCAUAGGCAAAUGAAGAAAAUUGCCUUAGCUAAACGCAGAUUUGGGAAUCCAUAAUCCUGUCUCUCUUCCCUACCCCCAGGUUUAAGAUAGAUCCUUCUAAUAAUGAUGCAAUUUGCUUGGCUCCCCCUGAAUUCUAUAUUCUUACAAGACCCAGUGCUGUUGUUCUCAUUUUGGUGAUGAGAAUGGAAUGUGUUUUUUCUUCUUGUAAUUAUCUUCUACAAGCAACCAAAAUGGAUUUUGAGCUUGUCCAAAGAUGUCAACAUCUGCUUAUUUUCAGGCUGUUUGUCUGCAUAGGAGGUAGUAGUCUAAAUCUAUUUCUCAAUUUAUGCAAAAUUGCAUCACCCACACAUUCAGGCCAUAUUCCUGAGAUGGGAAAAUGGGAGAUAAGUUUACUUAUAGGGAAUUUCUCUCUAGAAUGUGAUCAUGUAGCACGUAUUUAAAAGAUAAGAGAGAGAGUUUUCAUGGGGUUGCAUAAGACAAAGGUGAAUUGUUCUCAGAAUCAUACCAAAUGACAAGGUGGUAGGCAGAAUAAUGGCCCCCUACAGAUGUUCACAUCCUAAUCCCUGGAGCCUGUGAAUAUGUUACGUUACAUCACAAAUGACAUUUUGCGGCUGUUAUUAAAUUCAGUAUCUUGAGAUGGAGAGGUUAUCCUGGAUUAUCUGGAUGAGCCCAGUAUAAUUAUGAUGGUCUUUAUAAAUAGAAGAGGGAGGCAGGCCAGUUAGUGUUAGACUGAUGCACCAUGAGACUCAACUGGCCAUGGCCGAGUUUGAAGGUAGGCACGAGGCUACAACACAAGGAAUGUAGGCAGCAUAUAGAAGCUAAGAAAGGCAAUGUAUCUUGGCUGACACUUUGAUUUUAGCUGAGUGAGACUCAUGUCAGACUUCUGACCAUCAGAACUGUCAGAUAAUAAAUGUGUGUUGUUUUAAGCCA